This 231-nucleotide unclassified non-coding RNA is filed under the name Hevea brasiliensis (rubber tree). Lineage: Eukaryota; Viridiplantae; Streptophyta; Magnoliopsida; Malpighiales; Euphorbiaceae. The record is from RNAcentral.
AUUGUCACAAGCGCCGUUAUCAUGGACUUGUUCAUUGCUGACCUCCCCUAUUGCCGGAGCGGAGAUGUUUGAUGAGUACCGCUGCUGACAACAUCAUCAUGGUUCACCUCACUCGGCUGGCUCCGAAACAAGUCGCGUGUCUUCCUUGACCGGCUCGAUGGUCGGCGAUGGAAGAUGACCGUUUCCACGAUCAUUGGCCGGCAGACGGAAGCCUUUGAUCAAUCCGUAGAG